RNAcentral lists this long non-coding RNA (963 nucleotides) under Oncorhynchus kisutch (coho salmon). RNAcentral's name for it is "lncRNA (ENSOKIG00005000550.1)". Lineage: Eukaryota; Metazoa; Chordata; Actinopteri; Salmoniformes; Salmonidae. The record is from RNAcentral.
AUGUUGGCCAGUAGUUGUUCCCAGUUGGAGCUGCUAGGGGGCGCCACCUCUCACCAGUGCUCCUCUAUCCUAGAGAAACGAGUCGGACCUUGCACCCCUUUACGAUGCGGUUCCACCCUCAGGCAGCUCCUCCCACUUCCUCAUCCUCAGCUGUCAAUCAGCUGGGUGGUCAGGGCAACGGGGGUACCCCUCCCCCUACAGCCGUUGUACCUGCGUCGUCAGGGCGGAAGGAGCGAGAGGGGGGAUAGUGACGGGCUUUUGCCCCUAGUGAGGUCACACAGCGAGCCUGGCCUCAGCUCUUCUGCUGAUACAGUAUACUUCAGUGGUGGCUCAGUGGGCAGUAAAGGAGUGAGGGAGGGCUCUCAGACCUCUACAGACACAGGUCCGUCCUCCGAGGCAUGCCUGCUACCCCGCUCCUCUCUGGUGCCCCCCUCAGCCCUCCUCCCCAGGAAGGGCGGUGUGAAGGCAGCCACCAUGAGCCGCACCUUGCCCCUCUCCAAAGGCCCUGCCAACUCUCCCUUGCACCUUCCCAAAGAAUGCAACCGCUCUCUUGGGGACCUCAAGGUGACGAGGGGGUUGGUGGCUCGCUUCCUGCAGCGCUCCAAACGGAACCUGGCGUCCGCCGCAGAGCAUUCUGGGAACACGGGACAGGGUCAGAAAAGAAGAGGUGGGGUGGAGGGCAACGGGACAGGCCAUCUCCCUUUAGAACAGGUGUUACGUAACUCCUGGGGGGCCAGCCAGGGAUCCCACCCGCCAUACCCUCAUCACCGUGGUCACCACCACUCCCAUAGCGACAGCCGCCACAACCGCCAUCAUAGCAACCAACCCCCUGUGACGGAAGGGAUCCACUUGCGCAGCUGCGGCGACUUAAGCUCCUCCUCCUCUGCGUCGCUAUGGCGAUUACUGACGGCCAACCCCCCUCACGGGUCAUCAGGGGCACUGUACACAGAGUCAGCCCUGUAA